CAGUGCCGCGAAGAUCUGCGGGUAAAAGAGAAUCAGGUGAAAGUCCUGAGCGAUCCGGUCACUGUGAACAGCAAGUGUUUUGCAUGAUGUCAUUGCAUCCGGCCAAGCGGGUGUGAGAAGGCGCAAAUUACGUCCGAGCUGUAAGUCAGGAAACCUGCUGACGCAUC
This 167-nucleotide non-coding RNA is filed under the name uncultured Eubacterium sp. The record is from RNAcentral. Lineage: Bacteria; Bacillati; Bacillota; Clostridia; Eubacteriales; Eubacteriaceae.